UUUUUUAUCUGUAUUUAAUAUUUUAUGUAUGUGACGGAGAAUCUUGAAAAGUUUUUGGAUUUUUGAGUGAACUAAACAAGUCUUAGAUGCAAAUUAAAGUGUGCGCUUGCAUAAAGGAGAUCUAGAUCCAGCAGGCUACCAGGAUUUGGUUUUAAUCUUUUUCUUCGUUACGUUUACUUUUAUUAGGGCACUCCCAAUGCUAGAAACUACAUGUAGUUUCUAUACCUAUUAAUUUCUAUAGACACUAUAUAGAAACUAUGCUUCCAAUGGAUAGUUUCUAUACAAUAAUUUGUUAUCCAAUCAUAUUCAUUCUCUUUCUAUUCUCAACCAAUCAUAUCACUUUAUGUCUUGGAUUUCGCGUAGACAUGGUUUCUAAGGCCAGUCUCAAUGGAGUUUCAUGAGAGUUUCAUGCACAUUAAAUAUGCUGAUGUGGCGCUAUAAUAAUGAAGAGAGAGAUGAUAAGAGUUUCAUAGGAGUAGAGAGAGUUUCAUCCCCAUGAAACUCCAAUGCACUGUUUCCAAAAUACAGAUGUGUUGGAAACUGGGCUAUGAAACUGCCAUUGAGGAUGGCCUAAGUUAGACCCAGUUUCUAUGGUUUUUGCUCUCUCUCUCUUCAAUAACUACCUUGCCACAUCAGCAAAAUGCUUAGGUGGCAUCAUAAUUAAUGUCUAUAAAAACUAUGGUGGUUUCUGCAUUGGGA
RNAcentral lists this long non-coding RNA (699 nucleotides) under Sorghum bicolor (sorghum). RNAcentral's name for it is "long non-coding RNA (SBIC_LNC009428)". The record is from RNAcentral. Lineage: Eukaryota; Viridiplantae; Streptophyta; Magnoliopsida; Poales; Poaceae.